UUUUUACCUUGUGAAUUUAUUAUAAGGAACUAGGCAAAAUUGAUUUCCGCCUGUUUAUCAAAAACAUGUCCUCUUGNAAAAUAUUUUGAGGUCUGGCCUGCUCGCUGAGCUUNNNAAUUUUGAAGAGCCGCGGUAUUUUGACCGUGCAAAGGUAGCAUAAUCAUUAGUCUCUUAAUUGGUGGCUGGAAUGAAUGGCUUGACGAGAAAUCAACUGUCUCUUAAUAAUUUUUAGAAUUUAACUUUUAAGUCAAAAGGCUUAAAUUUAUCUUUAGGACGAGAAGACCCUAUAGAGCUUAACAUUUUAUUUUUAUAUAGUUUUUUGUUGGUCUUUCUAUAUUGAAUGAUGAUGUUUUGUUGGGGUGACAUGAAGAAUAAAUAAACUCUUCAUUAUUAUAUCAUUGAUUUAUGUUUGUUAUUUUGAUCCAUAAUUUAUGAUCAUAAGAUUAAGUUACCUUAGGGAUAACAGCGUAAUUGUUUUUGAGAGCUCAUAUCGACAAAGCAGAUUGCGACCUCGAUGUUGGAUUAAGAAAAAUUUUGGGUGCAGUAGCCCAGUGAUUAGGUCUGUUCGACCUUUAAAUUCUUACAUGAUCUGAGUUCAGACCGGCGUGAGCCAGGUCGGUUUCUAUCCUAAGAUUNAUUUAUCCAUAUUAGUACGAAAGGACCAUAUGGUUAAAACANNUUUUUUAUCUUAUNUGAUUAAUAUUAAUUU
This 709-nucleotide ribosomal RNA is filed under the name Valanga sp. HS-2017. Its description in RNAcentral is "partial 16S ribosomal RNA". It matches the Rfam family "Bacterial large subunit ribosomal RNA", at positions 1746 to 2740 of the family's 2925-position model. Lineage: Eukaryota; Metazoa; Arthropoda; Insecta; Orthoptera; Acrididae. The record is from RNAcentral.